UACAGAGACUGCAAGCGUUAUUCGGAUUCACUGGGCGUAAAGGGUGCGCAGGUGGCCGUGUGUGUCAGAUGUGAAAUCCCGGGGCUUAACUCCGGAACUGCGUCUGAAACUACACGGCUAGAGCAUUGGAGAGGGUAGUGGAAUUCACGGUGUAGCAGUGAAAUGCGUAGAUAUCGUGAGGAACACCAGAGGCGAAGGCGACUACCUGGACCAACACUGACACUGAGGAGCGAAAGCCAGGGGAGCAAACGGG
Molecule: ribosomal RNA, 253 nt
Filed under: uncultured bacterium
Lineage: Bacteria
Description: partial 16S ribosomal RNA
Rfam family: Bacterial small subunit ribosomal RNA
Source: RNAcentral